Molecule: ribosomal RNA, 586 nt
Filed under: Pithophora sp. HUN1420
Lineage: Eukaryota; Viridiplantae; Chlorophyta; Ulvophyceae; Cladophorales; Pithophoraceae
Description: eukaryotic LSU rRNA
Rfam family: Eukaryotic large subunit ribosomal RNA
Source: RNAcentral
UUACCCGCUGAAUUUAAGCAUAUCAAUAAGCGGUGGAAAAGAAACCAACAGGGAUUCCCUUAGUAACGGCGAGCGAACAGGGAAGAGCCCAGUAUGAAAAUCUCCAGCCUUUGGCUGGCGAAUUGUAGUCUGGAGGAGCGCUCCCUGGGUGGGUGCUGGCCGAAGUAUACUGGAAGGUAUCGCUAUAGAGGGUGAGAGCCCCGUAGGCCAGUUAACCCGUCCUUCACGGGACGCUUUCAAAGAGUCGCGUUGUUUGGGAAUACAGCGCUAAUUGGGUGGUAAACCCCAUCUAAGGCUAAAUAUCAAUGGGAGACCGAUAGCGAAAAAGUACCUCGAGGGAACGAUGAAAAGACCGCUGGCAAGCGAGUAAAAGAGUGCAUGAAAUUGUGUAGCGGGAAGGGAUGGCCUGGUAGCAUGCGCCCGGGUUGAUGUGGUUCGCAAGAGCUGCUGUCUGCACUGGGUGCUGGCUGGUACCGGCGCCCUUGGCCGUACAAUACUCUGCUGAGGUGCAGAGCACUGCGGGCGAGGGUGCCGAGGCUGAUCAGUUGCUUUGCCCCUUCGGGGAGCUGCUCUGACAGGUUGCAGU